This 458-nucleotide ribosomal RNA is filed under the name uncultured bacterium. RNAcentral's name for it is "bacterial SSU rRNA". It matches the Rfam family "Bacterial small subunit ribosomal RNA", at positions 340 to 786 of the family's 1533-position model. The record is from RNAcentral.
UACGGAAGGCAGCAGUGGGGAAUAUUGCACAAUGGGCGAAAGCCUGAUGCAGCUAUGCCGCGUGUAUGAAGAAGGCCUUAGGGUUGUAAAGUACUUUCAUCGGGGAGGAAAAAACAAAACUAAUAAUUUUAUUUCUUGACGUUACCCGAAAAAGAAGCACCGGCUAACUCCGUGCCAGCAGCCGCGGUAAUACGGAGGGUGCUAGCGUUAAUCAGAAUUACUGGGCGUAAAGAGCACGUAGGUGGUUUUUUUAAGUCAGAUGUGAAAUCCCCUGGGCUUAACCUAGGAACUGCAUUUUGAAACUGAAAUACUAGAGUAUCGUAGAGGGAGGUAGAAUUCUAGGUGUAGCGGUGAAAUGCGUAGAUAUCUGGAGGAAUACCUGUGGCGAAAGCGGCCUCCUAAACGAAUACUGACACUGAGGUGCGAAAGCGUUGGGGAGCAAACAGGGAUUAGAUACC